CUGACCUCGAAUCAGGUGGGACUACCCGCUGAACUUAAGCAUAUCAAUAAGCGGAGGAAAAGAAACUAACAAGGAUUCCCCUAGUAACGGCGAGUGAAGCGGGAUGAGCUCAAAUUUAAAAUCUGGGUAGUCUUUGACUGCCC
Molecule: ribosomal RNA, 143 nt
Filed under: Hydnum albomagnum
Lineage: Eukaryota; Fungi; Basidiomycota; Agaricomycetes; Cantharellales; Hydnaceae
Description: partial 28S ribosomal RNA
Rfam family: Eukaryotic large subunit ribosomal RNA
Source: RNAcentral